UCAAGUGGCUGCAGUCCUUUUCCUUCCUGACCCUCCAGUUGUGCCAUCUUUGGCCAGGAGGGAAAUGGACACUUAGAAACAGCCAUUCUCCUCCUAAGGCACUGGAAGGCACAGGCCAGAUGCGCUCCCCUGAUGAGGAAACUGAGACUCCCACCCUGCAUGAGGCCAAGCACAGGGGGAGUGGCAGGGUCUGGCUAGUGGAUUAGCAGUUCUCAAGGCAUUCGUGGUCUGCCGGACACCUGUCCCACCGGCUGCUCCCAGCAUGGGCGAGGAGGGCUUUCACAACUCUCAGCAUUCCUGAAUCUCAGAGGACUCAUCCUGUCUCACAGAAAACCCCAUCUUAACCCAUGAAGACCCACAGACCCCUGCCCUGUCCUUCAGCCUGGUCUGGAAGUUGAGUAGUCGAGACUGUGAGCUGACUGUGGGUGCAGCCUGGAAGUACCUGGAAGGUGGGAACUGCACCUGCUUUCUUUGACGUCACAGCCCCAAACCCGGCGGAGUCUAAAACACAAGAGAUGCUCGGCUAGUGCUGAUUACAUAGAAAUCUUGACCCAAGAGGCCUGUGCGAUAGCCUUCACUGGAGCUUUGGAAUAACGGACAGCCAGCCUACCUGUUCACAGAGGACGGCCGAAAUAAGCCGUGAGCUGUCUGUGUGGGGAGGAAGACUUGAGAUAUAGCUCAUCGCAGUGACAAACCUUCUUCCAAAGCCCCCAGACAGCCAGAAAACAGACCGCUCAAUGCAUGCAGCUCAGCCUGGAGCAGCGUCAAGGUGAUAGUGACAGCAAUGUAGCUUCUUCGGAGUCGUCCUGCGGCCUUCCCUGCUGUGAAGUCCUGAAUUCACUGAUCCCACUCCACGCCACCCUCAAAGGACAUGGGCCACUGCUCUGAAAAGGCAGCAGCAGCACAGCAGCAUGUCCGUGAUCAGAACCCCAGACAGCUGCUCCCCCCAUGACCCUCAACCUCACCAUAGAUGCACCAUUCUAUGGGGGUGGCUGGUGGUGGGGACAUUGGAGAGGUGAUUAAGUCUACAUGAAGCCAUCACGGUAUGCCCUAAUCCCAUCUGACUGAUGUCCUUAUGAAAAGAAGAAAAUCUGGACACGCCAGGAGGCAUCAGGGACGCAUGCUCAGAGGAAAGGCCAUGUGAGGACUCAGCGUGAAGGCGGCCUCUGCAAGCUGGGAGGAAAGGCCUUGUGAAAACCCAACCCUGCCCGCACCUUGUCUCCUCCAGACCUGGGAGAAAAUAUUGAUAGGUUCCUGUCAU
Molecule: long non-coding RNA, 1261 nt
Organism: Tupaia belangeri chinensis (Chinese tree shrew)
Lineage: Eukaryota; Metazoa; Chordata; Mammalia; Scandentia; Tupaiidae
Exons: 8
Source: RefSeq, a predicted model, not a curated record